RNAcentral lists this ribosomal RNA (466 nucleotides) under uncultured fungus. Its description in RNAcentral is "bacterial SSU rRNA". It matches the Rfam family "Bacterial small subunit ribosomal RNA", at positions 107 to 607 of the family's 1533-position model. Lineage: Eukaryota; Fungi. The record is from RNAcentral.
UGAGUAACACGUGAAUUAUCUACCUCCGAGUGGGGAAUAACUGAGAGAAAUCUUAGCUAAUACCGCAUAACACUUACGAGUCAAAGCAGCAAUGCGCUUGGAGAGGAGUUCGCGGCCGAUUAGUUAGUUGGCGGGGUAAUGGCCCACCAAGACGAUGAUCGGUAUCCGGCCUGAGAGGGCGCACGGACACACUGGAACUGAAACACGGUCCAGACUCCUACGGGAGGCAGCAGUGGGGAAUUUUGCGCAAUGGGGGAAACCCUGACGCAGCAACGCCGCGUGGAAGGAUGAAGCCCCUUGGGGUGUAAAACUCCUUUCGAUCGGGAAGAUUAUGACGGUACCGAUAUAAGAAGCCCCGGCUAACUUCGUGCCAGCAGCCGCGGUAAUACGUAGGGGGGCAAGCGUUGUCCCGGAAUUCAUUGGGCGGUAAAGGAAGCUUCGUUAAGGCGGUUUUGGCAAGUCGGGG